ACACUUACCUGGCAGGGGAGAUACCAUGAUCACGAAGGUGAUUUUCUCAGGGUGAGGCUUAUCCAUUGCACUCAGUGUGGUUAUUGCUCUCCUGGAAGUUUCCUUGGGGUUAGGUCAUUUCUCCUUCAAAAGUCUCCCUAAACUGAGUGUUGUGCAUGCUUGUAAUCCCAGC
Molecule: small nuclear RNA, 172 nt
Organism: Heterocephalus glaber (naked mole-rat)
Lineage: Eukaryota; Metazoa; Chordata; Mammalia; Rodentia; Bathyergidae
Gene: U1
Rfam family: U1 spliceosomal RNA
About the family: U1 is a small nuclear RNA (snRNA) component of the spliceosome (involved in pre-mRNA splicing).
Source: Ensembl